ACGCCAGUAGCUCAAUUGGUAGAGUAGCGGUCUCCAAAACCGGUUCGAGUCCCUCCUGGCGUG
Molecule: transfer RNA, 63 nt
Filed under: Verrucomicrobiota bacterium
Lineage: Bacteria; Pseudomonadati; Verrucomicrobiota
Description: Verrucomicrobia bacterium tRNA-Trp
Rfam family: tRNA
About the family: Transfer RNA (tRNA) molecules are approximately 80 nucleotides in length. Their secondary structure includes four short double-helical elements and three loops (D, anti-codon, and T loops). Further hydrogen bonds mediate the characteristic L-shaped molecular structure. tRNAs have two regions of fundamental functional importance: the anti-codon, which is responsible for specific mRNA codon recognition, and the 3' end, to which the tRNAs corresponding amino acid is attached (by aminoacyl-tRNA synthetases). tRNAs cope with the degeneracy of the genetic code in two manners: having more than one tRNA (with a specific anti-codon) for a particular amino acid; and 'wobble' base-pairing, i.e. permitting non-standard base-pairing at the 3rd anti-codon position.
Source: RNAcentral